UACGUAGGGUGCGAGCGUUAAUCGGAAUUACUGGGCGUAAAGCGUGCGCAGGCGGUUCGUUGUGUCGGCGGUGAAAUCCCCGGGCUCAACCUGGGAAUGGCCGUUGAAACUGGCGGACUGGAGUGUGGCAGAGGGGGGUGGAAUUCCUGGUGUAGCGGUGAAAUGCGCAGAUAUCAGGAGGAACACCGAUGGCGAAGGCAGGUCUCUGGGCCACUACUGACGCUGAGAAGCGAAAGCAUGGGGAGCGAACAGG
Molecule: ribosomal RNA, 253 nt
Filed under: uncultured bacterium
Lineage: Bacteria
Description: partial 16S ribosomal RNA
Rfam family: Bacterial small subunit ribosomal RNA
Source: RNAcentral